Molecule: ribosomal RNA, 269 nt
Filed under: uncultured bacterium
Lineage: Bacteria
Description: partial 16S ribosomal RNA
Rfam family: Bacterial small subunit ribosomal RNA
Source: RNAcentral
GUCCACGCCGUAAACGAUGGGCACUGGGUAGCGGCCGGAUCCGACCGGUCGCUGCUGACGGAAAUCCAUUAAGUGCCCCGCCUGGGGAGUAUGGUCGCAAGGCUGAAACUCAAAGGAAUUGACGGGGGCUCACACAAGCGGUGGAGGAUGUUGCUCAAUUCGAAGCAACGCGAAGAACCUUACCAGGGUUUGACAUGCUGGGAUUAACUCGGUGAAAGCCGAGGGAUUGCCUUCGGGUGUAACCAGCACAGGUGUUGCAUGGCUGUCGU